UAGUCAGGCGGCACGUGACUGGAGCAUCGCUCUCGAGCUUUCGCCUCCCGGCCCACUACACGGUAACUGUCCGUAUAGAUAAUGAUGUUUUUACCGUCUGUACCCUCAUCAUCUAUUACAACUUUUUUUUGUUUGCCCUUGACUACAAUCUCACCUGAUGGUAAGUGAUGUAAUCUAAGAUGUAAGCGGGCUAACUUGUUAAGAGUAGGAUGAAAAUCCACACCCCUUUCGGUUUCUACACGACAUCGUACCAGAACGCUAAAUCGCUCGGCAGAACGUCCUUGCCGAUAGGCUGUUAACUAGCCACGGCCGGAAGCUUAUCAUCCAACCAAACUUAAUAUUUUAAAAUUAUAAAAUCCUAAACAGUCUUCAAUGUAAUCCGAUGACUUGUGUUGAACUCUUCACUGUAGCUAUCAAAGAGUCGACGAAUCAAGGUUUGUUGUAGGCGCAUAUUAUUUGGCACACAGCCAGAACCAUUGUUUACCCUCCACAUACAAGUGGGUAGGCAACUCUUACUGAAAGGGGAAACAAAUUUUCGCUUGCCAUUUUUACAAAAUUGUACAACAUUAAAUAACUGAUUUUUAGUGUUCCGUAAUCCCCUUAUACACAAGGAACCCUUAUAACCCUGCCUGUCCGUCCGUCCGUCCGCGGUUUAGCGGAAAUACUAUACUAUGCACAAAAAUUAAGGGAGCAGAAAAAAAAUCCAAAUUUUUGGGGGAUUUUCAACAGGCUGUAACUUAUACAAAAAUGGUCGUACAGCAAAAAAAAAAGCAAAUUGUAGCUCUAAGUGUUUAGUUUUUGGAUCUGAGUUUGAAAAUUUUUUUUUGAAAAUAUUUUUUGAGUAAUCAUAAGAAAACGACCGAAAAAAAAAUUUUCGAAAUUUUUUUGGGUUUUUUUUUUAAUCUACGGACGUGGAAAAAAAUUUUUCGACUCAACCUCCAUAUGGACCGGAUAGCUUGUUUAUUCAGAUUUAAUUUCGUUUUUUUUUAAUCUCGAUACGAGCAUUUCUCGCUGAGAUAUCGAUGUUUGAAUGGAAAAAGAUCAUUUUGUCCUGUACGACCAUUUUUGUAUAAGUUACAGCCUGUUGAAAAUCCCCCAAAAAUUUGGAUUUUUUUUCUGCUCCCUUAAUUUUUGUGCAUAGUAUAUUACUACUAGAAAGCUAUAAAUUAGCAUGAGUAGGUAUGUCAUCAUCAUCAUCACUAUCAACCCAUAUUCGGCUCACUGCUGAGCUCGAGUCCAAGAAUUAGAGGGGUUAGGCCAAUAGUCAACCACGCUGGCCCAAUGCGGAAUGGCAGACUUCACACACACAGAGAAUUGAAAAAAAUCUCUGGUAUGCAGGUUUCCUCACGAUGUUUCGCCUUCACCGUUUGAAACACGUGAUAUUUAAUUUCUUAAAAUGCACACAACUGAAAAGUUGGAGGUGCAUGCCCCGGACCGGAUUCGAACCCACACUCUCCGGAAUCUGAGGCAGAGGUUAUAUCUACUGGGCUAUCACGGCUCUUACUGCAAGAUCACAUUAUAAUAAUAAUAAUAAUAAUAAUAAUAAUUCAUUUAUUUAAAGUAACCAAGACUCAUUUUGUUAGUAAAAUUCUCUUAUAAGUAUGUUAAUUGUGUAUACCUAAACCUAAAAAUUAGUAAAUAACAAUAUUUCUUAUUAUCUAUGUUAGUUACUUAAAACCUAUUGUAUUUACGAGAACCAGUGCUAUGUCAUUCCAUUAGAAACGCCACAACAGUGGUUCACGUAGGUGCAGUCUAGUCUGCUGGCGAUUACUGCCAAAAUGCUGUUGGUACUGCCUCGCAGCCUUCGCACCAGGGAUCCGCAUCUUUUGCGCAUUGUUGCAUAAAAGCAAUCAACUCUUGCUUCCGCGAACAUCCCUGACGCGCUACAGUAACGAGGUAGCCCCAUAAUAGCCCUGAAUGCAUUAUUGUACUGGAUACGGAGAGCAUUGUACGAUCUUUGUGUAUAUUUUGCCCACAGGCUGCAUGUGUAAAAAAUAGUGCAAUAGGCCUUAAAUAAUGUUGUCUUAACUUGCUGUGAGCAGCGUGCAAACCUGCGUGCAAGCAUGUUAGCUCUAACUGACAAUGCUCUCCGCUCCCUUUCAAUAUCCGUGUCGUCCUUGAGGUCGGGGGUCAAAAAAUGUCCUAGAUAUUUAAAUUGGUGAACUUGUUUCAAAAUUGUCCCAUUUAGUACAAGCGAUGGAACGUUACUUGGUAACUUUCCCUCAGCCUCAAAGACCAUCACUUCGCUUUUCUUGGCAUUAUAAAUUAACCCGUGCCUUUCCACAUAAGCCUCACAUAUUGCCAACAGCUUACGCAGGCCACAAAGUGAUGCACUCAGCAGCACCAAGUAAGUAGUAUUGGUUAACAAUUUACCCAAGAAUGCAAGGUCUUUGUUCGCUCAGACUCACUAGUACUAAUAGAUUUUUAUCGAUCUACCCACGGCUUGACACUUUAGGGUCGUUGACGGAAGCGCGGGCGCCGCCGGCCCUUACGGUGGAAUUCAUAGUCGUAGUAGGGGGCCCCUAAGGGGAUUAUUCAGCCGCCAUGUGUCGAAUUCAACCCCUACGCGUUUCAUAGACAAAAGAAACCCCUCAUUUGACAGGAGCUGGCGGCUGACUGCUGAAUUACCGAUAUUUGUCAGCCAAACCAUCCCCUGGCAUUUUUUUUUGUUGUUAUUCGUGAUUUAUUUAUUAGAAAGUGGACGUUCGGAUCGUUAUAAGUGAAGUUAUAAACAGCGAGUUAUAUCAGUGCCCAAGAUAUAUAUUCGCAAUUGCGUAAACCCAGUAUAAUACUAUGGCGAUAUGGAAUGUACGAAAGAUUCUCAUAUUAGGCAUAAUAUGCCUCUGUUUGAUGAAGAAUGAACACAGAAGACCAAGAGAGGAAUACCAAUACCGCUAGUAUUAUACAUUCUAGCAGCACUUCGAUUCUAUGAAACGGGAUGUUAUCAGACUGUAUGUGCAUUCCAUCAAGCAUUCUAUGAAAUAACAGAAAUGCCAAAAGUCAAGCUGUAUUGAUGGCACACAUAGGUAUACAUAUAAACAACCCCGGAGGACCCUAUGCACAUAUUUAAAGAAACCGGCUAUCAUGGCAGGGAAUAGCAGUGAUGAGCUCUGAGAAUACUGUUUUACCAAGAAUACUGAGAAUACUUUGGUCCUUGAAAAUCCGAGUUUUCAGAUCACAGUAAUUGGAAGACCCACAUACCUUGAAAAGUCAGCAGCAUUUAAUAUAGAGGUAGUAGGAGUGAGUGCAGUAUGUUGUAAGGUGGUCACUCACUCUGAAGUCCAUAACAAUAGAAAAUGUAUACAAAUCUUAAUUGAAUGAAAUUUAUUGAUUCACAUCUUUAAUAAAGAUAAUUAUUAAAUGUUUA
Molecule: long non-coding RNA, 3367 nt
Organism: Bicyclus anynana (squinting bush brown)
Lineage: Eukaryota; Metazoa; Arthropoda; Insecta; Lepidoptera; Nymphalidae
Exons: 2
Source: RefSeq, a predicted model, not a curated record